AUGAUGGGUGAGAAACAAACAAAAAUCUGGCUUGGCGAAGUUCUCCAUGUCAGGUUUGAUGAAGACAUUUUGGUAGCAGACCUCCUAGGUGACGGGGAAUUGCUAUUUCAAGUUUCCAAAGUGAUAUGGAAGAGGCUACUCAGAAAGAACAAAGAACAACUCAAGCAAUCAAAAGUAUAUAUUUAUGAGAGGCCAUCUUUUGGUAAAACUAACGGGAAAUAUACUCCAUAUCCAAAAGUAGACUCGUUUCUAAAGGUAUGCCAAACCCUUGGAUUAGCUGGAAUUGAUUUGUUUACCCCUUCUGAUGUGGUCGAGAAAAGAAAUGUUCGGAAAGUGUGUAUGUGCAUACGCUCACUGUCUAAAAAGGCUGGCAUGAUGCAGCUGAACGUGCCUGAUUUUGAUGUUGUAACCCACACAAUAGCCAUGCCCAACUAUAUUGUUGGAGGCAUCCGCAGAAGUCUGGAGCAGCCACAAUGCAGUUCAUCUUGUUCGAGUGGGCACAGUCCGCGUGCCAUUUCUAAAAGCAUAUUUGAAGGACAGAAUGAUGAACAAAGCGACCGACAUUAUGACUCUGAUGAAGCAGAGAGCAGUCUCUUUGUGCUAGGGCCUCAGGAUUCUCUUGAUGACGACAAACUUUCCGAGCUUUUGCAGUUGGGCGAUGCCCCCAAGGAAGAAAGAGAAGGCUAUGGAGACAGUGGGCAUGAAAUGCCCGAGGAGAAGUCGCUAGCCGAAUCAGCGGGAUCACUUGAAGCUGGUGUUAUGGAUGCUGAUACUAGGAAUUCGACUCCUUUUCAUGAGAACCUACUCUCACCAACAGAUCGGUGUUCAACAACUAGAACAAAUAAAUGUUCACUAAGUUCAGAAGAAUCAGACUCCAUAAACAGUUAUUUAGCUUCCGACAGUUGCAAGAAUGAUUUGGACGGUCCUCCUGUCAAAGUGUCCGAAAGGAUUCAUGAUGGACACGUCGAACCUUCACAUGAUUCUGUUCAGGGAAAUGGGAAAAUAUUCACUGACCAUCCAGAAAAAGAUGACAGCGCAAGCCAAGAGCUGAAACAUGAAUUCAGCACUAAGGAUCACAUGGACGCUUGCAAAUCUGACGAACCGGGAACAACUGAAAGCAACAGCAAUGCUCAGGGGACCGGGAACAAUGCUCCCAAAUCAGGGAAAGGGGUGCUGAAGUCAGUUGCUGGAGGGAUCACGCUCAUCGGCGCCGUGUUCUUAGUAGCUCAUCUCAGGAGGAGCAAGGGGAUAAGCUUUACAACUAUUUUGCCUUCACUUUCUGAGAAAUCAAUUCAGAGCGACUCGAGGGCGAACAAUGUGGACAACGGAAAGACAACCGAGGUGUAUCCAGGCGGCUGGCUCAAGGUUUGA
Molecule: ribosomal RNA, 1371 nt
Filed under: Triticum aestivum (bread wheat)
Lineage: Eukaryota; Viridiplantae; Streptophyta; Magnoliopsida; Poales; Poaceae
Description: partial small subunit ribosomal RNA
Source: RNAcentral